This is a long non-coding RNA of Canis lupus familiaris (dog), 3306 nucleotides long. RefSeq lists it as uncharacterized. Lineage: Eukaryota; Metazoa; Chordata; Mammalia; Carnivora; Canidae. The transcript is spliced from 5 exons. The record is from RefSeq and is a predicted model, not a curated record.
CCUUCCGGCGAAGACCACUCCGGAAGGGGGUGGGGGGAGCAACGUACCCCCCCAGACAAGUUUCCUUCAGCCUCGUCCCCCCUCAGGCCGAGCGCCGGCAGCUCAGCGGCGCACUCACCAUGCUGCAAGCGCUACCGGUCUCCGAGAAGCGGCCACACAACCAGUCAGCUCGCUCGCCCCGCUCGGACUAAUUCUCCUCCUCCGCCCCCAGCGCCUCAUAAACACCUCCCUCCGCCAGAUCCCUCCGCCGCACGCCAGAUAACGGAACAGCGCAAACGAGUCCCGGCUAAGCCCCCUCCUCUCCAGCUCGGCUCGGACUCCUGUCUCCACUGUUACGGACUCGACGAAGCAAAAGAGAAAGGGAAGUGGGCGAGCGGAUGACGUAAGUGGGUUUCACUGCUCAGCGAGCCCGGGUACCGGCCGGUGGAGUCGCGCCCGCGGGGCGCUACUUUGCGGCGCGGAGGAGCAUCAUGGUGGCGGCUCGCGGCCGAGGAUCGUUGAGUCGGCCUCUGAUUGGCUGGUAUGUACCCAGAAGAACUGAAAGCAAGAUCUUGAAGAGAUGUUGAUACACCUAUUCUCAAGGCUGUGUUAUUCGAUAUAGCUAAAACUUGGAAGCAACCCAAAUGUCCGUCAGUAGAUAAAUGGAUGAGCAAAAUGUGGCAUAUACAUACUUAAGAAUAUCAUUCAGCCUCAAAAAAGGAAAUUCUACAGGGUGUUGCAACAUGGAUGAACCUUGAGGACAUGUGAGGGAGCUUACAAGCCACAGAAGUUCCAGAAGGAUUUCUAAAGAAGAUCACUCCUAAACUGAAUCUGAUACAAUAAAUGACCUAGGAAACAAGCAAAAGGUCCCACUAAGAUAAUGUUAACUGUCAGCAACAAGAAGAGUUGAGUAUUUACUAUAUGCUAGGUGCAAUGAGGGACACCUGGAAGAAUCAGAGACAAGGAAGACAACCAGGACAUUCAGACCCAUCAGAGAGGGAGAGAAUCUUAAGCAAGCUCCACACCCAGCAUGGAGCCCGACUUGGAAUUUGAUCGCUCAACACUGUGAUCGUGACCUGAGCUGAAAUCAGGAGUUAGGCACUUAACUGAGCCACCCACGUGCCCCACAAAGCCACAUUUUAAGAAGGAAAUAAGCAAGCAAGAGUUAAAUUCAAGUAAUUAUUGAGUGAAGACCUUGAACUUGUUGUCUGGGAGUGGGAUAGAAAUCAAGAGGGUUCAUUACCAUUAUGGUUAUAGCGAUUUAUAUAUUUUUGCCUCAUAAAAUGUUCACAUCCAUGACCUAAUUUUAGCUUGCAUCUCUGUGAAGUAGGCAGAGAAAGUAUUAUUUUUCUCUCCCACUUCCACAGAUGGGAAAACAGAUCAAGAGAGUCUCACAACUGACUCAGCAUUACAGAGCAAAGCUAAUGGCAGGAGUAGGACUAGGAUUUCAUUCUUCAAAACUCCCAGUUGAAUGUCCUUUCCUCCACCCAUGUUGCCUUUCUGCCCUUGAAAAACUCUGUAAGAGUGGGAAAAUUUACAGUGAUAACUAAAACAAGAAAACAUGACACCUGGAGAGUUGAAAAAAAGAGUUCUCCCAUUAGGGGAAAAAAAUCUAGAACAGAUGCCAAAAGACACAUCAAGGUGGUAGCAAAGUGCUGGACACCCUGCCCUUGAGGAUGCCUCAUGAAUAUUUGAUGAUAUUAAUACACUGGAUUUGCCUCCAAAGUUGCAUUGGGUUGGGGGGCAGGAGUAAGGUCAUUGAGGUCACAAGCAAUGAUUUUUGAGGCCUAAAAAAAUAGAAGUAGCCUUACAGCUACUUUAGCGUACAGUUUGAGGGCCUCUUUUAAGUCAAGUAGAUUGCGAAAGAGCCAGUGAGUGGUUGUUGCCCUGGUGGAUGCUUUGCUUGCAAGAAAUAGAAAUUCACUGGCAUUGGCUUAUCUACAAUAGGAAGGUGUCUUAUAGGUCCUAUGGGUAAAAAUCACAUCUGGCUUAAGGAAAAACUAGAACUGGGAACUUGCAGACCUUCAGAAACUCAGAAGAUGUGCGUUCUCUCCAUGAUCUCUCUUCCGGAGUGUUUUGCCCAUAUUUUUCUGAAGAGUUCCCUCUUCUGCUCUGUCCCCAUGUGAGAUCAAAAGCAGAUACCCACAGCUCCCAAGUUCAUAUUCCAGCCAUAUGAACCAACUCUCUCUCCCCAUUCCUCUUUCUCAAACACAAACUCCCAUGGAAGGAGCUCUUUCAGCUUAAAUUGGCUCAGGAAUCCAUCCCUGAUCCAGUCAACUAUGACCAGGGGUCAGGGUCCCAUUAGUCAUGAGCAGCUGUUGAAAGCCACCCUCUACAGAUGGCAAUAAGGCAUUUAUAGAUAGAAAUCAUUUAAGCUGAGCAUAUACCUCAAAAUAUAUCCACCACUCACACCCACUAGGAUGGCUAUGCUAAAAAAACAAAACAAAACAAAACAAAAAAACAAAUGGAAAGUAACAAAUGUUGGCUAGAAUGUGGAGAAAUUGGAACCCUCAUGUAAUGUAAAUGGUAAUAUAAAUAUAAAUGUAAAAUGGUGCAGUUGCUAUGGAAAACAGUUUGGUGGUUCCUCAAUAAAUUUAAACAUAGAAUUACCAUAUGACCCAACAAUUCUACUCCUGGGUAUAUACCCAAAAGAAUUGAAAACAGGUGUUCAAACAAAAAACAUGUACAUAAAUCUUCAUAGCGGCACUGUUCACCAUAGCCAAGAGGUGGAAACAACCCACAUGUCAUCAGUUGAUGAGUGAAUAAACAAAAUGUGGUAAAGCCGUGCAAUGAAAUAUUAUUUAGUCACAAAAAGGGAUGAAGUGCUGAUACAUGUUACAAUGUGAAUGAACCUUAAAAAAAUUACACUAAGUGAAAGAAGCCAGACACAAAAGAUACUUAUAUGACUCUACUUAUAUGAAAUGAUUCUACUUAUUUUAUGAUUUUACUUUAUAUGAAAUAUCCAGACUAGACAAAUCCUUGGAGACAGAAAGCAGAUUAGUGGUUGCCAGGAGCUAGAGGGACAUAGGAAUGGAAAAUGAUGCUUAAUAAGUACAGGAACCCUUUUUGGGGGUGAUAAAAAUGUUCUGGAACUAGAAGGUGAUGAUGGUUGCACAACAUUGUGAAGGUACUAAAUGUCCCUAAAUUUCACACUUUAAAUGUUUAUGUUAUAGGUGUUUUACUACAACUGUAUUUAUACAUGGGAUGUGUGUAUGUCUGUGUUUCUUAUAUAUUUGUCAAUUGCUCUGAGAAGACUGAUCACAUUCACUACCCUAUAGUAGCCUGUUGAGAAUAAUAACUAAUACAUUCACUCAUUUACUCAUUCAA